RNAcentral lists this ribosomal RNA (814 nucleotides) under uncultured Campylobacter sp. Its description in RNAcentral is "bacterial SSU rRNA". It matches the Rfam family "Bacterial small subunit ribosomal RNA", at positions 406 to 1232 of the family's 1533-position model. The record is from RNAcentral. Lineage: Bacteria; Pseudomonadati; Campylobacterota; Epsilonproteobacteria; Campylobacterales; Campylobacteraceae.
GGAUGACACUUUUCGGAGCGUAAACUCCUUUUCUUGGGAAAGAAUUAUGACGGUACCCAAGGAAUAAGCACCGGCUAACUCCGUGCCAGCAGCCGCGGUAAUACGGAGGGUGCAAGCGUUACUCGGAAUCACUGGGCGUAAAGGACGCGUAGGCGGAUUAUCAAGUCUCUUGUGAAAUCUAACGGCUUAACCGUUAAACUGCUUGGGAAACUGAUAAUCUAGAGUAAGGGAGAGGCAGAUGGAAUUCUUGGUGUAGGGGUAAAAUCCGUAGAGAUCAAGAAGAAUACCCAUUGCGAAAGCGAUCUGCUGGAACUUAACUGACGCUAAUGCGUGAAAGCGUGGGGAGCAAACAGGAUUAGAUACCCUGGUAGUCCACGCCCUAAACGAUGUAUACUAGUUGUUGCUUCGCUAGUCGAGGCAGUAAUGCACCUAACGGAUUAAGUAUACCGCCUGGGGAGUACGGUCGCAAGAUUAAAACUCAAAGGAAUAGACGGGGACCCGCACAAGCGGUGGAGCAUGUGGUUUAAUUCGAAGAUACGCGAGGAACCUUACCCGGACUUGAUAUCUAACAAAUCAUCCAGAGAUGGAAAGAGUGUCUGCUUGCAGAAAUGUUAAAGACAGGUGCUGCACGGCUGUCGUCAGCUCGUGUCGUGAGAUGUUGGGUUAAGUCCCGCAACGAGCGCAACCCACGUCAUUAGUUGCUAACGGUUCGGCCGAGCACUCUAAUGAGACUGCCUUCGCAAGGAGGAGGAAGGUGUGGACGACGUCAAGUCAUCAUGGCCCUUAUGUCCCGGGCGACACACGUGCUACAAUG